Molecule: ribosomal RNA, 516 nt
Filed under: Hemilucilia segmentaria
Lineage: Eukaryota; Metazoa; Arthropoda; Insecta; Diptera; Calliphoridae
Description: partial small subunit ribosomal RNA
Rfam family: Bacterial large subunit ribosomal RNA
Source: RNAcentral
AAAUGGCCGCAGUAUACUAACUGUGCAAAGGUAGCAUAAUAAUUAGUCUUUUAAUUGAAGGCUGGUAUGAAUGGUUGGACGAGAUAUUAACUGUUUCAUAAAAAUUUAUAAUAGAAUUUUAUUUUUUAGUCAAAAAGCUAAAAUUUAUUUAAAAGACGAGAAGACCCUAUAAAUCUUUAUAUUUAAAUUAGUAUAAUUUUGUAGAUAUUUUUUAUUAUAUUAAUUAAUAAUAUUUUAUUGGGGUGAUAUUAAAAUUUAAUAAACUUUUAAUUUUUAAAAUCAUUAAUUUAUGAAUAAUUGAUCCGUUAUUAACGAUUAAAAAAAUAAGUUACUUUAGGGAUAACAGCGUAAUUUUUUUGGAGAGUUCAUAUCGAUAAAAAAGAUUGCGACCUCGAUGUUGGAUUAAGAUAUAAUUUUAGGUGUAGCCGCUUAAAUUUUAAGUCUGUUCGACUUUUAAAUUCUUACAUGAUCUGAGUUCAAACCGGCGUAAGCCAGGUUGGUUUCUAUCUUUAAAAA